RNAcentral lists this ribosomal RNA (478 nucleotides) under uncultured bacterium. RNAcentral describes it as "partial 16S ribosomal RNA". It matches the Rfam family "Bacterial small subunit ribosomal RNA", at positions 28 to 523 of the family's 1533-position model. The record is from RNAcentral.
GACGAACGCUGGCGGCGUGCUUAACACAUGCAAGUCGAGCGGUAAGGCCCUUCGGGGUACACGAGUGGCGAACGGGUGAGUAACACGUGGGUGAUCUGCCCUGCACUUCGGGAUAAGCCUGGGAAACUGGGUCUAAUACCGGAUAGGACCACUGCCUGCAUGGGUGGUGGUGGAAAGCUUUUGCGGUGUGGGAUGGGCCCGCGGCCUAUCAGCUUGUUGGUGGGGUGAUGGCCUACCAAGGCGACGACGGGUAGCCGGCCUGAGAGGGUGACCGGCCACACUGGGGCUGAGAUACGGCCCAGACUCCGACGGGGGGCAGGAGUGGGGGAUUUUGGACAAGGGGCGCAAGCCUGAUGCCGCGACGCCGCGUGGGGGAUGGCGGCCUUCGGGUUGUAAACCUCUUUCAGCACCGACGAAGCGCAAGUGACGGUAGGUGCAGAAGAAGGACCGGCCAACUACGUGCCAGCAGCCGCCGUAA